AACAUUUCGAGUAAUUACGAGCGUGCAAUUGGAAGACCUUGGGCAAGUCCCUACUCUUCUCGGACCCUCGGUCUUUUCUUCUCUGCAAUGGGUAUGAGAACCUUUAACCUGCGGGAUUAUGGUUUGGCUCACACCCAUCACAACUGUGGCUUAUGGAGUGCCUCCUGUGUGCAGAGGACUGUUUGUCAUCUCCUCUUCCCUCCCAGGAGGGGAGGUUGGGCACAGGCUGUCCCCUCAACCCAGGAGAGGACAGUUGGAGACGUGGCUGGAGAUGCCGCUGCGGGAGGGAAGGAAGUAGGGGGGGCUGGGCAGGCUGGACUGACGCAGCUGUGAUGUCAGCGACAGGCCGCAGGCGGUGGCCAGCCCAGUGCGAACGGCGUCUUGGGGCAGGACGGCUGUCAGAGCCAGAUGUCCAUGACUGCUGUGCUCCUACACAUCUGGAAAGGAAACCGGAUGGAGGCCGAAUCAGACCAGGUGCGACCCCUCUUCUUCCUCCCCCGGGCUGGGAGUAAUUAUUUGCCUGGGUUAAUAGUGCCCACUUCCCACCACCUUUCAUCACAGCUCCUGGAAUUGCCAGGCAGUAAUUAACCCUCCUAGCACCCCUCUGAAGUUGGUACUGGAGGCAGACAUGUUAUUAUACCCAUUUUUUUUUACAGGUGAGUAAACUGAGGCAGGGCUCAUUGAGGCCUAGGAGCCUGUGGUACCCCUAUGACUCAGCAGCUCAAUCAGUCUCCACUUCCUUCCCACAGGAAGCAAGAGGGCUUACCCUCCAGACACCCCUUCCCCUGGGGGCCGAGCUGCAGAUGAGACUUGGCAGGUCUUGGAUACUCCUUGUUCCUGCCCUCUCACCUCUCAGAAGCAACAGGCAUGGGCUUGGGACCAGGUGGAAGGGGCUGGGGUCUGACUCUGCUGUGUGACACUGGGCAAGUCACUGCCCUGCUCUGAGCCUCAGUUUCCUCCUUGGUAAAGUGGGGAUAGCCAGCCCCACAUUGUGUCUUUGUUUCCCUGAGCAGAAAUCACAGAGCAGACCUCUGGUCAAGCUCCAUUCCCCGCCCGGCUCUGGCCACACGGGCCUCCUCCGUGCUCUUUGGACACCCAAGUCGCCUUCACCCUCAGGGCCUUCGCAUGUGCAGAGCCAUCUGCCCAAAAUGUCCUUCCUUCAGAUCUCUGCCUAGCAGGCGCCUUCUCUGCUUUCUCAGCUCAAACGUCACUUCCUAAACCUAGAGCCUCUCCGCCCCCAUGCCCUGCCCCAACCCCUUGCUCUAUUUUACUUUCUUAAAGUGCUUGUGAAGGUAACUCAUCGUUUCCCAUGUUUGUUUCCUCAUGAGCUCCACCAGGGAAGAGAUUUCCAUCUGGGUCAUCCACGAUGUGCUCUUAAGGCUCAGCUCAGCUUUAGGGACACAGUAGGUGUUUAAGAAGUGAUUUUUGCUUUCUUCACCUCUUGCCUGGCUCGCUCCAGGGUCAGCUACUCCUUGUCAACUGAGGAUGGGCCGAGCUCCACUCUCUUGAAGGUCUCAGGUUGCUUUGAAAUCCAGGACCUCAGUCUCGUAGCUUGAGAGCAAGAAGGUAGGUGAAGGGAGAAGGGCCACCCCCGGAACAGACACCUCACCCCUCCCCUGCUGCCUCGGGCUCAUGGACUCACUCCAGGCUGAUCCCCAAGCCAGCCACCCCCUCCCUUGGCAUGUCUGUCAGCACCCUUGGGGGAAAGAAUUUGGAAAGGGGAGGACGAGAAAGAAAAGAAAGCAGGGUGCGAGGGGACGGUUCCCACACCUGUGUAAAUAAAUUGUCGUCUUAAAACUUGUCAAAUAUGCUCACCUUCAAUGCCCAGUUCUUGGGCUUGUUUUCCUUGGCAAGGCCCCCACGGGAGUGGAAUUUCAGCUGAAGGGAGCCCAAUUGUCAUCCUCUAAGCAUGUUCCCAGGCCAGGGGGCCAGGGAAGGCUCUGGCUGAUGCUCCACUUCCGUCCCCAGAAGUACUGGAACGUUCCUGGGAUUUCAGGAGCAGCCGCCAGUCCUGGAAGCUGUCCCAGAAUUCUGGAAUGUUGGAAUUCAAACAGCCUCCUGCCCAUUUUUCAGAAGAGGCACAUGAGGACCAGACAGGGAAAGCGGUUGGCCUGAGGUCGCACAGCAUGCUGUGAAGCGCUAGAGUUUUCCAAGAGAAGAUGGGAUCAGUAUCCAUCUCCUGGUUUCUCCAGUAUUGGGGUAAUAGCACCCCAAUUUCCUACUGGAGAACCUUCUCUUCCCUCAUCUCAUCCCAUGAGAUUUGGGUGGGGUGUCCUAGGACCCUGUCUCCAAAGGUGGACAUGUGACCAAGUCUGGCUCCGUGUGAUCCGUCCAGGGAUGGGCGUGUAACUAAGCCUGCCCAAUGAAACUUGAUCCUGGGACUUUGGUUGCUGGGAAUUAUUGGCGAAAAGGCUUGCAGUUUUUCCAUUGGAUGGAGAGUGAGCAAGUGAAAGCCUGGAGCAUCGGGGACUUCAUAAGAGAAAAACCUGCCUGAGAGAGAUCAAGACAGAGCUAGACAGGGUUGGAUCCCCUGGCUCCAGCCAUACCUGAAAUUAGACACACUUGAAGGUUUUCAUUUCAUGAGCCACUACAUUUCCUGUUUUUGGCUGAAAACAGUUUGGUUUUCCAUCACUUGCACACAAAAGGGGAUAACUGACCCAGGGGAAGGGAGAAGGAAGUGAUUCCAAACCGAGGAAACAGCAUGUGUCGUGACCCUGAAGCAGCAAUGCUAGGGGAUAUUCAAGUAACAGGGCAAACAGAGUCUCCCCAAGGUGAGGUCAGGAGUUUGUCAGGUGGUCAGGGUGGGAGAAGGGAGCGUCCCCAAGCAGAGGGAACAACCGAUGAGAACGCGCGGAGGGGCGACCAGCCAGUGAAGACUAACCACGUACUGGCCUUGUGUUGGGUGCCAGGGAACACAGAGGUGAAAAACACGAAAUCGAAUCCAGCUACUACUUAGCGGCUCUGGCCAAAUGUGGGCUCUUGCGCUUUCAGAGCUGAGCCAUCAAGCCCAUCCCGCAUGCUGUCUCAGAUGCACGUUCUCUUUGCUGAUACAGUUGGGCACCAUCGGGGCCACCCAGCUUCAUUUUCUAGGGUGCAGAGCGUCAGUUCCCAUUGUGUCAGAGAGAGAGUCUUUCCCUUUGCAGAUCUUUCUACAGUUCUUCCUUUACAUCAUGAAGAGCAGAUGCUAACCUAUCUCUAACACUCGAUCCUUGCUUAUCUCCCCUGGUGAAAAUGAGCAAGUCUCAGACGUCAUACCUCUGGCAUACAGUUUUCUCUAGCUAAACUUUUACAAACUUUGUACUCAGCUAUGACAUAUGCGGGAGAAGGAACUGGCAACCCACUCCACUACUCUUGCCUGGAAAAUCCCCUGGACGGAGGAGCCCGGUAAGCUACAGUCCAUG
Molecule: long non-coding RNA, 3401 nt
Filed under: Capra hircus (goat)
Lineage: Eukaryota; Metazoa; Chordata; Mammalia; Artiodactyla; Bovidae
Description: lncRNA (ENSCHIG00000002326.1)
Source: RNAcentral